GCGGUAGGUGACUGACGGAGGACAUUAAUGAACAAAGAAGAGUGUUGUAGCUGGCCUUUCGGGGCAUGUGCACGCCUCUUCAAAAAUCCAACCACACCUGUGCACUCCUGCGUGGGUUGGUCAGGGGGAUAAAAACCUCUGGCUAGCUUGCGUUCUUUUUACAAACCUUUGUAUGUCUUCAGAAUGUCUAGUGAUGUUAUAAACGCAUCUAAUACAACUUUCAACAACGGAUCUCUUGGCUCUCGCAUCGAUGAAGAACGCAGCGAAAUGCGAUAAGUAAUGUGAAUUGCAGAAUUCAGUGAAUCAUCGAAUCUUUGAACGCACCUUGCGCCCUUUGGUAUUCCGAAGGGCACACCUGUUUGAGUGUCGUGAAAUCAUCAACUCCUACUUUCUUAAUUGAAGGUCCGAGAUUGGACUUGGAGGCUUUUGCUGGUCUUUGAAGAUCGGCUCCUCUUAAAUGUAUUAGUGCGGCUCUUCGCCGACGUGCCUUUGGUGUGAUAAUUAUCUACGCUUCUGGUCACGUAGGCCUACCUUGAGACGCGCUUCAAACCGUCCUUCGGGACAAAUCCAUGAAAUUUGACCUCAAAUCAGGUGGGACUACCCGCUGAACUUAAGCAUAUCAAAGGGGGGAGGAAAA
This 637-nucleotide ribosomal RNA is filed under the name Aleurodiscus wakefieldiae. Its description in RNAcentral is "eukaryotic LSU rRNA". The stretch from base 216 to 369 matches the Rfam family "5.8S ribosomal RNA". Lineage: Eukaryota; Fungi; Basidiomycota; Agaricomycetes; Russulales; Stereaceae. The record is from RNAcentral.